GCCCGUGUAGUUCAGAGGUAGAACAGCGCAUUCGUAAUGCGCAAGUCGUCGGUUCGAAUCCGACCGCGGGCU
Molecule: transfer RNA, 72 nt
Filed under: Pseudomonadota bacterium
Lineage: Bacteria; Pseudomonadati; Pseudomonadota
Also listed under: 1 other name
Description: tRNA-Thr
Rfam family: tRNA
About the family: Transfer RNA (tRNA) molecules are approximately 80 nucleotides in length. Their secondary structure includes four short double-helical elements and three loops (D, anti-codon, and T loops).
Source: RNAcentral